CAAAAACAUCGCCUCUAGAACUCUAUAUUAGAGGUCCAUUCUGCCCUAUGCCCUACGGGGUAAAUGGCCGCGGUAGCCUGACCGUGCUAAGGUAGCAUAAUCACUUGCCGUUUAAUUGAUGGCUGGAAUGAAUGAAUAUACGAGAGCUCAACUGUCUCAUUUUUACCAAUAUAAAUUGACCCUCAAGUGAAGAGACUUGAAUUCUAAAAAAAGACGAAAAGACCCUAUAGAGCUUUACCUGAACUCUAUAUAUUUUAGAACUAAGGUUUAGUUGGGGCAACUAGAGAGUAUCUAAAACCUCUCUUCUAGUAAAUUGAUAAGAUCCGCUUUUGCGAUAAGAAGAAAAAGCUACCUUAGGGAUAACAGGCUAAUCCUCUUUAAGAGACCAUAUUGACAAGAGGGAUUGGCACCUCGAUGUUGGCUCAGGGUUACAGUUUGAUGCAGCAGUCAAACAAAGUAGGU
This 462-nucleotide ribosomal RNA is filed under the name Polydora lingshuiensis. RNAcentral describes it as "partial 16S ribosomal RNA". It matches the Rfam family "Bacterial large subunit ribosomal RNA", at positions 1808 to 2576 of the family's 2925-position model. The record is from RNAcentral. Lineage: Eukaryota; Metazoa; Annelida; Polychaeta; Spionida; Spionidae.